UUUUUGUUAGAAAAAAUGAAGAGAUAGACUAGCUGAAUAUAAUAAUUUGUUGAAAUAUGAGAGGAAGAAAUAAGAGAGACUAAUUAUGAAAUUCAAGUUUUGAUUUGUGGUUGAUGCUAGAAGCUUUCAAGUACAUGGGUAUUUAUAGGUACUAGUACUACUACUACUACCUAUCACGGUAUUAAAGCUUAAUAAAUAAUUAAACGGUAUUUUGUGACUUUAUAGAUGUAUAAUUGAUUAAGGUUGCCAAUGGAGCCCGAGUCUGAUACAUUGUUGGUCAGUUGUUGUUUGAUCUAAUUUUCAGUAUUAAAUGCAGUAUGAUGUUUGAUGUAAUUAUGUUAUGGUCUCGUAUGCAUGAAUCAUGAUUUCUUUUAUUAUGGUUUGUAUUAUGGUGAACCUGAUACUGUGUUGCCUUGUUUGGUGUCAAUUACUGGUUUACAUGUUGUGUAUGAUUGGAUGAUUGAGAUUAAGAAAAAAGGUAAAAAGGUUAUGUGAAUUGAUAAGUGAAAAAUGUGGACAGCCUGACUAGAUAUCCUGGGAGAUGGUGGACGGCCCUGGAAUCAGGUUAUUGAUGUUAAUGGUUCACGGAUAGUGGGGACCCCCUAUGGAUCCCCAUGGAUACUAGUAGGCUGGUAAAUGAGGAAAAUAUGUUGUUUAAUGAUUGAAAUACAAAGGCGUGGUAAGUGUUAUGUUAUAACGUCUAUAUGAUUUCAUGAUGAUGAUAAUGUUAUUGCUUUCAUAUGUUGUUUUCAUGGAUCUCACCGAGGUAAGUGGACAGUAAAGGUUUUUAUGUUAAUAAACGAGUUUGUUAUAAAUUAUGCUCCAUCGGUCAUUUUUGUUUUCUACCCACCUUUACUUCCGUGGCGGUGAGAUAGUGUGAUGUCUUUACUGGGCUGGUGCAGCUCAUUCCUU
This 912-nucleotide long non-coding RNA is filed under the name Carica papaya (papaya). Its description in RNAcentral is "long non-coding RNA (CPAP_LNC016276)". Lineage: Eukaryota; Viridiplantae; Streptophyta; Magnoliopsida; Brassicales; Caricaceae. The record is from RNAcentral.